This 447-nucleotide ribosomal RNA is filed under the name uncultured bacterium. RNAcentral's name for it is "partial 16S ribosomal RNA". It matches the Rfam family "Bacterial small subunit ribosomal RNA", at positions 29 to 523 of the family's 1533-position model. The record is from RNAcentral.
AACGAACGCUGGCGGCAGGCUUAACACAUGCAAGUCGAGCGCCCCGCAAGGGGAGCGGCAGACGGGUGAGUAACGCGUGGGAAUCUACCCAUCACUACGGAACAACUCCGGGAAACUAGAGCUAAUACCGUAUACGUCCUUCGGGAGAAAGAUUUAUCGGUGAUGGAUGAGCCCGCGUUGGAUUAGCUAGUUGGUGGGGUAAUGGCCCACCAAGGCGACGAUCCAUAGCUGGUCUGAGAGGAUGAUCAGCCACACUGGGACUGAGACACGGCCCAGACUCCUACGGGAGGCAGCAGUGGGGAAUAUUGGACAAUGGGCGCAAGCCUGAUCCAGCCAUGCCGCGUGAGUGAUGAAGGCCCUAGGGUUGUAAAGCUCUUUCACCGGUGAAGAUAAUGACGGUAACCGGAGAAGAAGCCCCGGCUAACUUCGUGCCAGCCGCCGCAGUAA